Long non-coding RNA from Hibiscus syriacus, 216 nucleotides. RefSeq lists it as uncharacterized. The transcript is spliced from 3 exons. The record is from RefSeq and is a predicted model, not a curated record. Lineage: Eukaryota; Viridiplantae; Streptophyta; Magnoliopsida; Malvales; Malvaceae.
GAAAAUUAUACCCGUUUUACCUGGAGAUUACAGUGAUCUGGAGUUGAAACCUGUUGGAGUAUUAGAUGUGAAGCUUGUGCAAGCCAAGGACCUAGCAAAUAAGGACAUGAUUGGGAAAUCCGAUCCUUUCGCCGAGUUAUUUGUGCAUCCACUUCGGCAUAAAAUGAAAACCAGUAAAACUAUUAAUAAUACAUUGAAUCCAAUUUGGAAUGAGCA